GGGCGGAUGGCGGAAUUGGUAUACGCGAUAGGUUGAGGACCUAUGCUCCGAAAGGGGCUUGAGGGUUCAAGUCCCUCUCCGCCCACCA
This 88-nucleotide transfer RNA is filed under the name candidate division WWE3 bacterium CG_4_10_14_0_2_um_filter_47_8. RNAcentral describes it as "tRNA-Leu". It matches the Rfam family "tRNA". From Rfam's summary of the family: Transfer RNA (tRNA) molecules are approximately 80 nucleotides in length. Their secondary structure includes four short double-helical elements and three loops (D, anti-codon, and T loops). The record is from RNAcentral. Lineage: Bacteria; candidate division WWE3. RNAcentral also lists the same sequence under 1 other name.